This 274-nucleotide ribosomal RNA is filed under the name uncultured bacterium. RNAcentral's name for it is "partial 16S ribosomal RNA". It matches the Rfam family "Bacterial small subunit ribosomal RNA", at positions 523 to 796 of the family's 1533-position model. The record is from RNAcentral.
AUACGGAGGGGGUUAGCGUUGUUCGGAAUUACUGGGCGUAAAGCGCACGUAGGCGGAUUGGAAAGUUGGGGGUGAAAUCCCAGGGCUCAACCCUGGAACUGCCUCCAAAACUAACAGUCUAGAGUUCGAGAGAGGUGAGUGGAAUUCCAAGUGUAGAGGUGAAAUUCGUAGAUAUUUGGAGGAACACCAGUGGCGAAGGCGGCUCACUGGCUCGAUCCUGACGCUGAGGUGCGAAAGCGUGGGGAGCAAACAGGAUUAGAAACCCCUGUAGUCC